Molecule: ribosomal RNA, 429 nt
Filed under: Neomaso minimus
Lineage: Eukaryota; Metazoa; Arthropoda; Arachnida; Araneae; Linyphiidae
Description: partial large subunit ribosomal RNA
Rfam family: Archaeal large subunit ribosomal RNA
Source: RNAcentral
UUUACUUUAAGUAAAAUCUGCUCCAUGUUAUAUAAAUAGCCGCAGAAAUUUAACUGUGCUAAGGUAGCAUAAUCAUUUACCUUUUAAUUAAAGGUUUGUAUGAAUGAUUUUACAUUUAAAUUACUUUUUUAUAAAUUUUUAUUAAAUUUAAAUUAAACACAAAAAUGUUUUUAUUCUCAAAAAAGACGAUAAGACCCUAAUGAACUUAACUUCUGUUUAGCUGGGGAAGCUACUUAAAUAUAAUUUUAACUUCAAUCAAAAAAACAAUACCUGAUAUAAUUAUAUUAACAAGUUACCAUAGGGAUAACAGCGUAAUAUAAUUUUAAAGCUCAUAUUAAAAAUUAAGCUUACGACCUCGAUGUUGAAUUAGAAUAACUUUUAAAUGUAAAUGUUUAAAAAGUAGGUCUGUUCGACCUUUAAUAAUCUACA